Molecule: ribosomal RNA, 1104 nt
Filed under: Triticum aestivum (bread wheat)
Lineage: Eukaryota; Viridiplantae; Streptophyta; Magnoliopsida; Poales; Poaceae
Description: partial small subunit ribosomal RNA
Source: RNAcentral
AUGACCCAAGCUCCUGUCCUGGCCUUGCCUGAUUUUUCUCAGCCUUUUAUCCUAGAGACUGAUGCCUGUGCUUAUGGAAUUGGUGCAGUGCUCAUGCAGGGGGGCAGACCAAUAUCCUACUUCAGCAAAACCAUUGGCCCUAAAGCUGCUGCCUUUUCAACAUAUGAUAAAGAGGCCAUGGCCAUAAUUGAAGCUUUAAAACAUUGGAAACAUUAUUUUGCUGCCUCCUCAUUGAUCAUAAGAACUGAUCAGCAGAGUUUGAAAUAUAUACAAGAACAAAAGCUUACUGAAGGGAUCCAGCACAAGUUACUAGUAAAGCUAUUGGGCUACAACUUCAAGAUUGAGUACAAACAAGGAAAGAACAAUAAAGUUGUUGAUGCUCUCUCUAGAGUGAAAUACAGAUUACAAUCCUUGAUUGCUUCUCAAGUGAAACCUGCCUGGAUAUCCGAGGUCAUUUCCAGUUAUGCCCAGGAUCAAAGGUGCAAGGACCUUUUAGCCCAACUGGCUACCUCUGCAACUGCUGUCCCUAACUAUGCCCUCCAACAGGGAAUUCUGAGAUACAAGAACAGAAUUGUAAUAGGCAAUGAUUCCUUCCUCAGAACCCAGUUAGUGUCUGCCUUACACAAUUCUGAACUUGGGGGCCAUUCUGGACACAGAGCCACCUACCAGAGAGUUAAACUCCUCUUUCACUGGCCUGGCAUGAAGCAGUUCAUUGUGGAUUAUAUCAAGCAAUGCCCCACAUGCCAAAUCAACAAACCAGAACACUGCAAGUAUCCGGGGCUGCUGCAACCUCUCCAUGUCCCUGACUUUGCUUGGUGUCACAUUAGCAUGGACUUUGUCGAAGGCCUACCAACUUCUCAAAACAAGAACAUGAUUUUAGUUGUUGUGGACAGGUUCACCAAAUAUGGGCACUUUAUACCAAUGCAGCACCCCAUCACUGUUAGUACUGUGGCCAAGGCAUUCACAGAUAACAUCUUCAAGUUACAUGGUCUACCCUCAGUUAUAGUUACUAACAGAGAUGCCAUUUUCACCAGUAACCUUUGGCAAACACUCUUCAAGAAACUGGGUGUUAAGCUGCACAUGAGCACUUCCUACCACCCGUAA